GGCUGGUCCGAAGGUAGUGAGUUAUCUCAACUGAUUGUUCACAGUCAGUACAGAUUGAACUCUUUGUUCUGCUCUUUCCCCCCUUCUCACUACUGCACUUGACUAGUCUUUA
Molecule: unclassified non-coding RNA, 112 nt
Organism: Cavia aperea (Brazilian guinea pig)
Lineage: Eukaryota; Metazoa; Chordata; Mammalia; Rodentia; Caviidae
Rfam family: Y RNA
About the family: Y RNAs are components of the Ro ribonucleoprotein particle (Ro RNP), in association with Ro60 and La proteins. The Y RNAs and Ro60 and La proteins are well conserved, but the function of the Ro RNP is not known.
Source: Ensembl